UACGAAGGGGGCUAGCGUUGCUCGGAAUCACUGGGCGUAAAGCGCACGUAAGCGGCUUUUUAAGUCAGAGGUGAAAUCCUGGAGCUCAACUCCAGAACUGCCUUUGAUACUGGAGAGCUUGAGUCCGGGAGAGGUGAGUGGAACUGCGAGUGUAGAGGUGAAAUUCGUAGAUAUUCGCAAGAACACCAGUGGCGAAGGCGGCUCACUGGCCCGGUACUGACGCUGAGGUGCGAAAGCGUGGGGAGCAAAC
RNAcentral lists this ribosomal RNA (250 nucleotides) under uncultured bacterium. RNAcentral describes it as "partial 16S ribosomal RNA". It matches the Rfam family "Bacterial small subunit ribosomal RNA", at positions 524 to 773 of the family's 1533-position model. The record is from RNAcentral.